RNAcentral lists this ribosomal RNA (495 nucleotides) under uncultured Allobaculum sp. RNAcentral's name for it is "partial 16S ribosomal RNA". The record is from RNAcentral. Lineage: Bacteria; Bacillati; Bacillota; Erysipelotrichia; Erysipelotrichales; Erysipelotrichaceae.
CACGUAGUUAGCCGUGACUUCCCCGCCGGGUACCAUCACUCAGAAAGCUUUCCACUCUUUCUGCCUUUUGUCCCCGGCAACAGAGCUUUACGAUCCGAAGACCUUCCUCGCUCACGCGGCAUUGCUCGUUCAGGGUUCCCCCCAUUGACGAAAAUUCCCUACUGCUGCCUCCCGCAGGAGUCUGGGCCGUGUCUCAGUCCCAGUGUGGCCGUCCGCCCUCUCAGGCCGGCUAUGCAUCGUCGCCUUGGUGAGCCGUUACCUCUCCAACCAGCUAAUGCACCGCAGGUCCAUCUGCAUGCGGGACUCUUGUCCCCUUUUCCAAAAAGAGAUGCCUCCUCUUUGCUCAUCCGGUAUCAGCUUCCGUUUCCAGAAGUUCUCCCGCUCAUGCAGGCAGGUUCCCUACGUGUUACUCACCCGUUCGCCACUCAUAUCCGAAGAUAUCCGUUCGACUUGCAUGUAUUAGGCAUGCCGCCAGCGUUCAUCCUGACGCCAGGA